GCGCUAGGUUUCUCUGACAACGCAUGCGAAUUUGAAUUAAAAAUGGCAACCGGUUGAAGAAGGGACGCGAUCUUUUUACAUUUACAAUGUGUAAUAGUCGUUACUCGGUAUCUUUAAUGCCAAGCUUUAGAGAUAUCUACUUACAAGGGCUGUGCAGUUAUAAACAAGGUAUUUCAUCAUGAAAACGUGAAAACCGCUGGACCUUUGUACCCGAGCCUGUCUUCGAUUUCUUUGUAAAACUGAAAUAACUUUAUCGCUCUUGAGUAAAGACUUAAACUUC
Actinia tenebrosa (Australian red waratah sea anemone) is the source of this 280-nucleotide long non-coding RNA. RefSeq lists it as uncharacterized. Lineage: Eukaryota; Metazoa; Cnidaria; Anthozoa; Actiniaria; Actiniidae. The record is from RefSeq and is a predicted model, not a curated record.